This 3063-nucleotide ribosomal RNA is filed under the name Rhodococcus (subgen. Prescottella) equi. RNAcentral describes it as "Prescottella equi partial 23S ribosomal RNA". It matches the Rfam family "Bacterial large subunit ribosomal RNA". The record is from RNAcentral. Lineage: Bacteria; Bacillati; Actinomycetota; Actinomycetes; Mycobacteriales; Nocardiaceae.
ACAGUGGACGCGAGCAUCUUUGUUGUAAGUGUUUAAGAGCGUACGGUGGAUGCCUUGGCACCAGGAGCCGAUGAAGGACGUAGGAGGCUGCGAUAAGCCUCGGGGAGCUGUCAACCGAGCUGAGAUCCGAGGAUGUCCGAAUGGGGAAACCCAGCCACAGUGAUGUGUGGUUACCCGCGCCUGAAUAUAUAGGGCGUGUGGAGGGAACGUGGGGAAGUGAAACAUCUCAGUACCCACAGGAAGAGAAAACAACAUGUGAUUCCGUGAGUAGUGGCGAGCGAAAGCGGAAGAGGCUAAACCAUGGGUGUGUGAUAGCCGGCGGGCGUUGCAUUCGUGGGGUUGUGGGAUCCGUCUUGUCAAUUCUGCCGGAUUGGCCGACAGUGAGAAAUCAUCGUGUUAGUCGAAGUGGUCUGGAACGGCCUGUCGUAGAGGGUGAGAGUCCCGUAGACGAAAACAUGGUGACUGUCGUGACGGACACCCGAGUAGCAGCGGGCCCGUGAAAUCUGCUGUGAAUCUGUCGGGACCACCCGAUAAGCCUGAAUACUCCCUGGUGACCGAUAGCGGACUAGUACCGUGAGGGAAAGGUGAAAAGUACCCCGGGAGGGGAGUGAAAUAGUACCUGAAACCGUGCGCUUACAAUCCGUCAGAGCCUGCGCCACUUUUGGUGGGUGGGUGAUGGCGUGCCUUUUGAAGAAUGAGCCUGCGAGUUAGCGGCAUGUCGCGAGGUUAACCCGUGUGGGGUAGCCGUAGCGAAAGCGAGUCCGAAUAGGGCGUUUGUAGUGGCAUGUUCUAGACCCGAAGCGGAGUGAUCUACCCAUGGCCAGGGUGAAGCGACGGUAAGACGUCGUGGAGGCCCGAACCCACUUAGGUUGAAAACUGAGGGGAUGAGCUGUGGGUAGGGGUGAAAGGCCAAUCAAACUCCGUGAUAGCUGGUUCUCCCCGAAAUGCAUUUAGGUGCAGCGUCGCGUGUUUCACUCUGGAGGUAGAGCUACUGGAUGGCCGAUGGGCCCCACAAGGUUACUGACGUCAGCCAAACUCCGAAUGCCAGAGUGUGAGAGCGCGGCAGUGAGACUGCGGGGAUAAGCUUCGUAGUCGAGAGGGAAACAGCCCAGAUCGCCGGCUAAGGCCCCUAAGCGUGUACUAAGUGGAAAAGGAUGUGGGGUCGCGAAGACAACCAGGAGGUUGGCUUAGAAGCAGCCACCCUUGAAAGAGUGCGUAAUAGCUCACUGGUCAAGUGAUCCUGCGCCGACAAUGUAGCGGGGCUCAAGUACACCGCCGAAGCCGCGGCAUUCACAUAACACCCAUGCGGGUCUACGGGCCUGUGUGCAGUGGUGUGGAUGGGUAGGGGAGCGUCGUGCAGCCAUGGAAGCGCCGGAGUGAUCCAGGUGUGGAGGCUGCACGAGUGAGAAUGCAGGCAUGAGUAGCGAAAGACGAGUGAGAAACUCGUCCGCCGAAUGACCAAGGGUUCCUGGGCCAGGUUAAUCCGCCCAGGGUGAGUCGGGACCUAAGGCGAGGCCGACAGGCGUAGUCGAUGGACAACGGGUUGAUAUUCCCGUACCCGUGUGAACGCGCCCCUGGUGAAUCAGUGAUGCUAAGCGCCCUGAAGCCGCCUUCGAACCUUCGGGUUCUCCGGUGUGUGGAUGCGCGUGAACCGAUCUGGUAGUAGCCAAGCGAUGGGUGACGCAGGAAGGUAGCUGAGCCAGUCAGUGGUAAUACUGGUGUAAGCGUGUAGGGCGUGACCUAGGCAAAUCCGGGUCACACACAGCCUGAGACGUGAUGCGUAGCCGAUUGAGGCGAAUUCAGUGAUCCUAUGCUGCCGAGAAAAGCCUCUAGCGAGCUUUCACACGGCCCGUACCCCAAACCGACACAGGUGGUCAGGUAGAGAAUACUAAGGCGAUCGAGAUAACUGUGGUUAGGAACUCGGCAAAAUGCCCCGUAACUUCGGGAGAAGGGGGGCCUCGUCUGGUGACGGAACUUGCUUCCUGAGCUGGGUGGGGCCGCAGAGACCAGAGAGAAGCGACUGUUUACUAAAAACACAGGUCCGUGCGAAGUCGUAAGACGAUGUAUACGGACUGACGCCUGCCCGGUGCUGGAAGGUUAAGAGGACCGGUUAGCCAGUAAUGGCGAAGCUGAGAAUUUAAGCCCCAGUAAACGGCGGUGGUAACUAUAACCAUCCUAAGGUAGCGAAAUUCCUUGUCGGGUAAGUUCCGACCUGCACGAAUGGCGUAACGACUUCUCUCUGUCUCAACCACAGACUCGGCGAAAUUGCAUUACGAGUAAAGAUGCUCGUUACGCGCGGCAGGACGAAAAGACCCCGGGACCUUCACUAUAGCUUGGUAUUGGUGUUCGGUUCGGUUUGUGUAGGAUAGGUGGGAGACUGUGAAGCGGGCACGCCAGUGUUCGUGGAGUCGUUGUUGAAAUACCACUCUGAUCGUAUUGGACAUCUAACCUCGGACCAUGAUCUGGUUCAGGGACAGUGCCUGGUGGGUAGUUUAACUGGGGCGGUUGCCUCCCAAAAUGUAACGGAGGCGCCCAAAGGUUCCCUCAGCCUGGUUGGCAAUCAGGUGUCGAGUGCAAGUGCACAAGGGAGCUUGACUGUGAGACUGACAGGUCGAGCAGGGACGAAAGUCGGGACUAGUGAUCCGGCACCGGCAAGUGGAAGCGGUGUCGCUCAACCGGAUAAAGUACCCCGGGAUAACAGGCUGAUUCUCCCCAAGAGUCCAUAUCGACGGGAUGGUUUGGCACCUCGAUGUCGGCUCGUCGCAUCCUGGGGCUGGAGUAGGUCCCAAGGGUUGGGCUGUUCGCCCAUUAAAGCGGCACGCGAGCUGGGUUUAGAACGUCGUGAGACAGUUCGGUCUCUAUCCGCCGCGCGCGUUAGAAACUGAGGAAGGCUGUCCCUAGUACGAGAGGACCGGGACGGACGAACCUCUGGUGUGCCAGUUGUUCCGCCAGGAGCACUGCUGGUUAGCUACGUUCGGAAGGGAUAACCGCUGAAAGCAUCUAAGCGGGAAGCCUGUUCCAAGAUGAGGUUUCCUCACCCCCUCGAGGGGGUAAGGCCCCCGA